Molecule: transfer RNA, 77 nt
Filed under: Pseudomonas amygdali pv. lachrymans str. M301315
Lineage: Bacteria; Pseudomonadati; Pseudomonadota; Gammaproteobacteria; Pseudomonadales; Pseudomonadaceae
Description: tRNA-Met
Rfam family: tRNA
About the family: Transfer RNA (tRNA) molecules are approximately 80 nucleotides in length. Their secondary structure includes four short double-helical elements and three loops (D, anti-codon, and T loops). Further hydrogen bonds mediate the characteristic L-shaped molecular structure. tRNAs have two regions of fundamental functional importance: the anti-codon, which is responsible for specific mRNA codon recognition, and the 3' end, to which the tRNAs corresponding amino acid is attached (by aminoacyl-tRNA synthetases). tRNAs cope with the degeneracy of the genetic code in two manners: having more than one tRNA (with a specific anti-codon) for a particular amino acid; and 'wobble' base-pairing, i.e. permitting non-standard base-pairing at the 3rd anti-codon position.
Source: RNAcentral
GCCACUGUAGCUCAGCAGGUAGAGCGACCGGCUCAUAACCGGUGGGUCGCGGGUUCGAUUCGCCGCCAGUGGCCCCA